Molecule: unclassified non-coding RNA, 24 nt
Filed under: Mus musculus (house mouse)
Lineage: Eukaryota; Metazoa; Chordata; Mammalia; Rodentia; Muridae
Description: oocyte_clustered_small_RNA12409
Source: RNAcentral
UAAUAGCCACAGUCCCUGCAGAGA